GAGGGUAUAAGCCCAGUGGUACAGUGCGUGCUUAGCAUGCAUGAGGUCCUGGGUUCAAUCCCCAGUACUUCCA
This 73-nucleotide transfer RNA is filed under the name Camelus bactrianus (Bactrian camel). It matches the Rfam family "tRNA". From Rfam's summary of the family: Transfer RNA (tRNA) molecules are approximately 80 nucleotides in length. RNAcentral also lists the same sequence under 2 other names. The record is from Rfam by way of RNAcentral. Lineage: Eukaryota; Metazoa; Chordata; Mammalia; Artiodactyla; Camelidae.